AUGAAGGAGUACAUCGCGCGCUUCGGGCACGGGUCCGCCAAGCUGGCACGGCAGGCGCAGAGCAAGGAGAAGACGCUGGCCAAGAUGGAGCGCGGCGGGCUGAGGGAGAAGGUGGCGAGGGACAGGAUCCUGACGUUCCGCUUCGCGAAUGUGGGCAAGCUCCCGCCGCCGGCGCUGCAGUUUGUGGAGGUGACGUUCGGGUACACGCCGGACAACCUGAUCUACAAGAAGCUGGACUUUGGCGUGGACCUUGACUCGCGGGUGGCGCUGGUGGGUCCCAACGGGGCGGGUAAGAGCACGCUGCUGAAGCUGAUGACGGGGGAGCUGGUGCCGCUGGACGGGAUGGUGCGGCGGCACAACCACCUACGUAUCGCGCAGUUCCACCAGCACCUGGCGGAGAAGCUGGACCUGGACCUGUCUGCGCUGCAGUACAUGCUGAACGAGUACCCGGGCAACGAGGAGGAGCGGAUGCGGGCGGCCAUCGGGCGGUUCGGGCUGUCGGGCAAGGCGGCGGCACGGCACCAAACAGAUGCGUGCAACUUCAGCGGAAGGAAGGAAGGCUAUUAG
Molecule: ribosomal RNA, 567 nt
Filed under: Triticum aestivum (bread wheat)
Lineage: Eukaryota; Viridiplantae; Streptophyta; Magnoliopsida; Poales; Poaceae
Description: partial small subunit ribosomal RNA
Source: RNAcentral